RNAcentral lists this ribosomal RNA (461 nucleotides) under Veillonella parvula. RNAcentral's name for it is "bacterial SSU rRNA". It matches the Rfam family "Bacterial small subunit ribosomal RNA", at positions 28 to 465 of the family's 1533-position model. Lineage: Bacteria; Bacillati; Bacillota; Negativicutes; Veillonellales; Veillonellaceae. The record is from RNAcentral.
GACGAACGCUGGCGGCGUGCUUAACACAUGCAAGUCGAACGAAGAGCGAUGGAAGCUUGCUUCUAUCAAUCUUAGUGGCGAACGGGUGAGUAACGCGUAAUCAACCUGCCCUUCAGAGGGGGACAACAGUUGGAAACGACUGCUAAUACCGCAUACGAUCUAACCUCGGCAUCGAGGAAAGAUGAAAGGUGGCCUCUAUGUAUAAGCUAUCACUGAAGGAGGGGAUUGCGUCUGAUUAGCUAGUUGGAGGGGUAACGGCCCACCAAGGCGAUGAUCAGUAGCCGGUCUGAGAGGAUGAACGGCCACAUUGGGACUGAGACACGGCCCAGACUCCUACGGGAGGCAGCAGUGGGGAAUCUUCCGCAAUGGACGAAAGUCUGACGGAGCAACGCCGCGUGAGUGAUGACGGCCUUCGGGUUGUAAAGCUCUGUUAAUCGGGACGAAAGGCCUUCUUGCGAACA